Long non-coding RNA from Prosopis cineraria, 2910 nucleotides. RefSeq lists it as uncharacterized. The transcript is spliced from 5 exons. The record is from RefSeq and is a predicted model, not a curated record. NCBI's taxonomy places the organism in Eukaryota, Viridiplantae, Streptophyta, Magnoliopsida, Fabales, Fabaceae.
UAUCUGCGGCGCGACUCUUCAAGACUGAGACUCAAGUCAUAGGGGAACGAUUGGCUGGGGCCUCAUGCCUUGCUAGGGUUUUGAACCGUCACCUCGUUUUCGGAGGGUUCUCCGCACGGCAGAGCGAUGCCGUCUACGGCAACCCUUUCUCGGCACAGGCCGAGUGUGAGAGAGGGUUUCUUUUGGCUCGGUGCAUUUGUGUGCUGGGCAAUUCGGUUUUGUGUGUGGGCGUUCUCAAAGAGGGUUGAUGUCAAUUUUGGGAUAUUGGUCUUCGGUUGGACGAUUGAAUGAUCUGAGGCAAAGGUGACUGGGAUCUAAGGCGAGUUUGAGGAUUUUGAAGGAGGAAAUUGUGAGUUUGUGUUCGCGAUGAACGACGAAGGUGGUAGCAAAUGCGCGUCGGUUUCCCUGCCUAAUCACCUGCCCGCUACUUUCAUUCCUUCCACUCCCUCUUCUAGAAUGUCCUAAGCAAGAGACAAAGGGCGUAUAGGUAUUUGAUUCGAUCACAACAGAAGGCAGCACGAAGAAGAUGAAGGGGACAGUGCGCGUCUAUUUGAAGUGCCAUCUGUGACCCAGUUCAUGUUGUUCUUGGUUGGCGGCGAGGGUCAUCAAGGAGGCGGAGGACAAAUGAGAAUAAGAUCGACAUCCACUCUGACCCCUUCAGGAUUUCUCCAAUAAAUUAAGCUUUGGAAGAAGAAUUUGCGAUGGGGGAGAGGAUUUGGGAGGAGUGAAGAAUGGUUUUCCCUGUUAAAGCAGAACUAUUGAAGCCCCAAGAGAAAAUGAAAAGACCCAUAACUGAUUUGAUUAAAAAGAGUUUGAGUCUUCAGUGACUAGCUCUAACAUGAGCACAUGUAUGAACUGAUUGGAAUCAUUGAAGGGUAAGCUGAACUAGAUCUACAAUUUAAUGUUUCAGAUGCAGAUCACAUUGACAGGUUGUGAUAAGGGCAAUUUAAUUUUAUUACAGAGGGGUGCAUCUAGCACCUGUUCUUGACCAGGUAAACCAUUUAUUUUUUGUUUGGAACAAUAAUCAUCAGUAUUUUAUAUAAUUUCUAUUUACCUUUCUUUUUCUAACUUAAUGAGUUUUUUCAUAUUGCCUAUAAAAACCUUUUUCUAUUUUUGUCUCUGUUUAUUUAUUAAUUUAUUUUCAUAUUUUUUUUAUGUUAUUGUAUGGUAAUAUUGUUCAAUUCAUCAAUAGAACAUUUAUUAUUUAUAUUGUUCUUUUUAUUAUAAUUCUUUCACUUUCAAGACUUUUUUUUCAUUAUAUAAUGCUUAUUAUUAUUAGUUUUCUUUUCAUGUUUGUUCUUUAUAGAUGGAUAAAUUUUUUGUUUCUAUAAAUUGUCUUAUUAGUGAUUGUAUUUUUGAUUAAUUAUUUAUUUACCUGAUACAGUUGGCUUUGUUGGUGAUUGUAUUAGUGAUUGUUUAAUGCAGUUGGUUUUGUAUCUUUUUCAUAGGAAUGAUAUUUUAUUUUGAGAUACAUGGCAUUCAUUCAUUUUUUUCGUCAUUUUUGGGAGAGCAAUCUUGACCAUCCAUUUUGAAAGAAAUCAUGUUGAUAAUGAGCUUUUAAUCAAUUUGUCUGUUGAUUUGAUCAUGGCUUACUCUCAUUCCGGAUUGAACCGUUUUUUCCUCAGAAUCGUCAUUUUUUUCCUUCAUUAUUUAGCUUAAGACUUUAGCACUUCCUUGUCUCGUACUUCUUCAUUUUUUUCUUUUUUCAUCAUCCCUAACUUCUAUUGGCGAAUGUUCUGACAAUGGCAGAGCAAAGCAAUCACUUGCUUUAUACACAAGGUGCUCUGCUUCAAUAGCUACACUAGUGAAGAUUGUUCGUGAGUCAAAGUGUGUGCUGCUUGAUUUUUUGGUUUGGUCUUUCUAUGAAGUGUGUUUCUUUCUGGGUGAUGGGAUAUGAGAUUAUUUAUUUGCUAUUUUAAUUUGAUGUGAAAAUGUAGGUUUUAGAUUGGAAAUUGUGGUAAGGGCAAUUUAAUUUUAUUACAGAGGGUGCAUCUAGCACCACUCAACUACAUCAUACCUAUUCUUGACCAGGUAAACCAUAGAUUUUUUUGUUAUCGGUAUUUUAUAUAAUUUCUUAAAGCUAGCUAUUUGCCAUUCUUUUUUUAACUUGAUGAGAUUCACUGAUUUCACUUGAUUAUUUUUUUGCUUUCUAAUAGGUAUUGUUUAAUACAAUUUUUUCUUUGUUGUAUAAUUUUUUCUUUGUUAUCUUAGAUUCCAGAUUAUGGUAAGGGAAAUUUAAUAUUACAGAGGGUGCAUUAGCACUGUCAACUAGAUCAUACUUGCUCUUGGCCAGGUAAAUCAUAGAUUUUUUGUUUGGAACAAUAAUCAUUGAUAAUUUCUUUAAGCUAGCUAUUUACUAUUUUUUUUUAACUGAAUGAUUUUAUUUUAAAUGGAUCAUUAGUGAUUGAUUAGUUAUUUAUUUACAAUCAGUUUGUCCAUUAAUUUGAUUGUGGUUACUCUCAUUCCGGAUUGAACCACUCGUCGCUUACUCUUCUUUUCAAUCCUCUAAGAUAUCACUUUCCUUUAUUAUUUUGCUCAUUCCUCCUUGUCUCCUACUUCUUCAUUUUCUCUUUCUUUGUCAUCCGUAACUUCUAUUGGCCAAUGUUCUCACAAUGGAGGAACAAAGCACUCACUUGUUUGUUUUUUUUUUACACAGGUGCUCUACUUCAGUAGCUACACUAGCAAAGACUGACUCAUUUUCUGUUUGUUUUUUUGGUUUUUUCCUUGGUCUUGGUCUUGUCUUUCCGUCUUGUUCAUUAUAUUAUUUUAUUAUACUCUUAUUUUUCUAUUAUUUUUUCUGUUUUUAUCUUUGUAUAUUUAUUAAUUUAUUGUCAUUUAUUUUGUUAUUGUAAUUAUUCAACUUUUAUUUAUUUGGUAAUAUUGUUCAAUUCACCAAUAGAAUAUUAGUUA